This 257-nucleotide ribosomal RNA is filed under the name uncultured soil bacterium. RNAcentral describes it as "partial 16S ribosomal RNA". It matches the Rfam family "Bacterial small subunit ribosomal RNA", at positions 26 to 285 of the family's 1533-position model. The record is from RNAcentral.
AGGACGAACGCUGGCGGCGUGCUUAACACAUGCAAGUCGAGCGGUAAGGCUCCUUCGGGAGUACACGGGCGGCGAACGGGUGAGUAACACGUGAGCAAUCUGCCCUUCUCUUCGGAAUAACCAUUGGAAACGAUGGCUAAUGCCGAAUACGACCUCCUUUCGCAUGAUCGGAGGUGGAAAGCUCCGGCGGAGAAGGAUGAGCUCGCGGCCUAUCAGCUAGUUGGCGGGGUAACGGCCCACCAAGGCGACGACGGGUA